CUGCGGAGGAUCAUUACAGAAUUUUGAGAGGGGUUGUAGCUGGCCGGAAGGCAUGUGCACGCCUCGAUCAUCAUCCAUCUCACACCUGUGCACAUACUGUAGGUCGGUUUGUGGGGUGAAGUCUUCAUUGAUUUCGCUCUGUGGGCCUUCCUAUGUUUUAUUACAAACUACUAGUUUCAAGAAUGUCUAGUGCGUGUAACGCAUUUAUAUACAACUUUCAGCAACGGAUCUCUUGGCUCUCGCAUCGAUGAAGAACGCAGCGAAAUGCGAUAAGUAAUGUGAAUUGCAGAAUUCAGUGAAUCAUCGAAUCUUUGAACGCACCUUGCGCUCCUUGGUAUUCCGAGGAGCAUGCCUGUUUGAGUGUCAUGGAAUUCUCAACUUCAUUUGCUUUUGUGAAUGAAGCUUGGACUUGGAGGUUGUUGCUGGCCAUAUGGAUCGGCUCCUCUUGAAUAUAUUAGCUCGAACCUUUGUGGAUCAGCUUCGGUGUGAUAAUUGUCUACGCCGUUCUGUAAAGCAUAGCUAUAGGUUUCGGCUUCUAAUAGUCCUUCGCUGGACAAUAUCUUUGACCUUUGACCUCAAAUCAGGUAGGAUUACCCGCUGAACUUAAGCAUAUCAA
RNAcentral lists this ribosomal RNA (616 nucleotides) under Fomitopsis serialis. RNAcentral describes it as "eukaryotic LSU rRNA". The stretch from base 213 to 366 matches the Rfam family "5.8S ribosomal RNA". Lineage: Eukaryota; Fungi; Basidiomycota; Agaricomycetes; Polyporales; Fomitopsidaceae. The record is from RNAcentral.